This 1209-nucleotide long non-coding RNA is filed under the name Gossypium barbadense (sea-island cotton). RNAcentral describes it as "long non-coding RNA (GBAR_LNC016440)". The record is from RNAcentral. Lineage: Eukaryota; Viridiplantae; Streptophyta; Magnoliopsida; Malvales; Malvaceae.
UAACCCGCGUUAGCCUCAGCUGUGUUCAUUAGUUAUGCUCAACUCCUGAAAAACAACAAUCGCAUUGGAAAACUGCAAAGCAGCCCCUCUUUCAGUCUUUCCAUUUGGAAACCAAUUCAUUUCUUCUUCAGCCACUCUUGAAGAUGGGUCUGAAACUUCUACUCAUCGUCGGUUUGUUUCCACCUAUUCCGCCGCAUAUGGAGGAACCCCAUUUAUCAAAUAAGUAUUUUCCCCUCUUUUUAGUCCCUCAGUAGCUAGGGUAUGUGCAACCCUAUUCGAUUCUUUGUGGGUAAAUCGAAAGAAAAAUGAACAGAUUCUAGUACAUAAACGCUUUGAAUCUUCAAUAUAUGCUUCAAUCUCAGAUCUAUUUUCCUCCUCUGUCAGCAGUUUCCUUAUCACCGAUCGUGUGUCUCCUUCAAUUUUGACCAUCAACAACCGGAGAUUUAUCCCCAACCGGAUCGCCUGAAGACACGCCAUCGCCUCCGAUGUGAACACUGACGAUAUGUUCUCAUGCAGUAUUGUUCUCAUGCAGCAUCAAAUUUUAUCUGAACAGUCGUCCUACUUGGUGCUUUCCAUCUUCCCGGGCUCUUUAUCUGAACUAGUAAGUUCGCAGUCAACCCAUCCAGGUCUUUUAAGUAGUUCUGCACAUAAUCUGCUAUUUGGGAUCCUGAUUUUUGCUCUCCCUCAUGAAUAAACUUAUUUCUUGAUGAUCAAAUUGCCCAAAUAGCAUAUGCAAUCAUCCUGCAUUUGUAUAAAGGAUAAGUAUCAAAAAUAUUGUUUAUCCAUUCUCUGUAUUCAGUAUUUGCCACUGCUAUCGGCCAAGUAACAUGUAAUUUCUCCCAUGUUUCUUUUGUGAUAAGGCAGUCCCUAAACACAUGCUCACUCAUUUCAGCUUCAUUCUGGCACCUUGGGCAAUUUGCAGAUCCAGCCAAUCUUUUGUAGUGCAGGUUGUUGAAAGUAGGCAAAAAAUUACAUGAAAUUCUCCAACUUGUAAUGUUUACUUUUGAGGGUAGAUCUAAGUUCGAAAGCGGCUUGUAAAACUGUUUGUAAUUUAUCAGCAUAAGAGUAUGUACAUCUUGUAAUUAUAGUUUAUACCCAUUACGAACUGAGUAAUCCUCCGUAGCCUCCCCAGGCUAGAUAAUGUGGUCUUCGUGCGAGUUCAUCAAUAGAGGAAUGCACAAAAUUCUUCCAGCAUCUACCUCUGUAAAG